Molecule: long non-coding RNA, 905 nt
Organism: Sinocyclocheilus anshuiensis
Lineage: Eukaryota; Metazoa; Chordata; Actinopteri; Cypriniformes; Cyprinidae
Exons: 2
Source: RefSeq, a predicted model, not a curated record
AAAGAAGGGGCUCUUAUGUGUGCUCUGCUCAAAGUGUAUUCUGCUAAGAACCAGUACAAUCUCUACUAGUAAUUGAUUGUUUUAAAUAAUGAAUUUAUAUCUAUUAGGCUUUAUUCCCAUCUGCUGGUGUUCAUGCAGUGUUUUUGCAGCAUGAUGGCUGGCAUAACAUCCCUCCCAGGCUUCAUGAAGAGUAGCUCAGCUCAGAGGACUGGCCUCCUUAUCCUUUUGCGACAAGAUGGCAAAGCUGUCAUGAAUACCAAUCACCCUCUCAGAUGCAGACUAACACAACCCAGAACAAUGACUAAAUGAGGAUCUGGGAGAAAGGAACUGUGUGUGCAAUGGAGUGUAAGUGAUUAAUUGAAAUUUAGGUUUUUAGUAUUGCGGUCUGUUAAUUCAGCUUUUCAGAGGUUUCUGAUGCUGCGUCUGACUCACAAGGUCUCCAUGGUAAUAGAUUGGGGUUGUCAUAGAAACUGAAGGACCACCGUUAAAAAGGCUCCAAAUGUGACUCGUGUGUUUUCUCACACACUGUGACGUAGUUUGAAUAGAAGAUAGGGGCUUGAGACACAAGGGCAAAGGGCCAUUUUGGUGUUGGCAGUUAAUUAAUACAUGCAUGAACUUACACCAUUGUCAGUUAUUAGGUUUUUAAUGUCCAAAUGGAAGCAUGAGCAGUUCAUUAACAAGCUUAAAGUAGGUCCUGUAGUCCUACAACAGAAGGCACCUUUAUAACAUGUCUAUGCGAAUGCAGAAUAAGCCACUUUCAUUCUGCAGAGACUAAAAUUAUAUGCAAUAGUAUUAAAUAUAGUAUGCACAUACUGUAUCUAUAAAGAAGUAAACAUUCCCGACCUGACAAGAGUUUGACAUGCAGUGGAAUACUUAAUCGAAAACUAUCUUAACUAAUGUGUAUU